CUAUUGAGUGUCGCUUCUUGUUAGUGUUUAUUCUAUGCUGUAGGCUAAGUUGACUCCUUUUUUAGGUGACAUCAUGAGUUAAAGUGAAAGUAUUUUAUAUACGGAAGUGAAGAAAAAACAACUAGCAUUGCAAGGCAUUGUUCAAUGAAGCAGCUGGGCAAAAUAUGCAGAAGAACGUGUUGUGAAAGCAUCUUUGAGCAGCUAAACUGUGAUCAUGUCAUCACUUCAGGGCUUCUCUGUACAGUCAGAUCUCAGAAUUGUGAUCAUAGGAAAUGCUGGAGAUGAAAAGAAUAAAGUAGUAAAAUCAGUGCUGAACUGUGAGAAUCCGACCGGAGUGAAAGUUGGGCUCUGUACUUUACAUCAGUGUGAACGAGCAGGAAGAAGGAUCAGUGUUGUUGAAGCACCAGGAUGGGACCGAAUCUCAAUACAACAAACAGCAGAGAACAUGAAAGAAGAAGUUGACAGAAGCGUGUCACUAUGUCCUCCAGGUCCUCACGUUUUUCUUCUGGUCAUUCCUGUGAAAACUCCCUCUGAAGAACCUUCUACCAGUGAAAUUACAGCAGCACAGAUGCACAUGGAGUUGCUGUCAGAGCGCGUCUGGAAACACACUAUCCUGCUGUUUGCUUGUGAUGAUGGGCUGGAGGAACCACAAAUCAAAGAGCACAUUCGCGGCUCAGAGAAAAUCCUGGAAAAGUGUGGAAGACGAUCCUAUGUUCUUCAGAAGAGCGCUUGGGAAUCUCCCACUCAGAUCAAUGAACUUUUAAAGAAGAUAGACAACCUGGUGAAGGAGAAUCAUGGUGAUUUCUUCAUACCACACGCUUACUCUGAACUGAUUCGACACAAGACACUAGAAGCGUCUGGUGAGAGUGAGAUCAGACACAGACGUGGAAGUUUGGACAAUCCUCCUAACAUGAAUAAAGGAGAUUCUGGGGAGAAGAAAGAAACCACAGAGGCUGACAAACAUACACCUUUAGAAGACACUCCAAAAAUCUACAUGGACGUCAAACAGUUUGUAGUGAUAUUAAUGGCUGUAUUUGGUGCACUUAUUGGUGCAGUUGCUGGAGCUGAAAAUGGAGUUUCAGGGUCUUGCACUGGAUUAGUCUUUGGUAUCAUUGUAGGGAUUUUACUUGCAAGUAUCAUCAUGUACAUUUACACUCAUAUUUAUUCACGUGCUUAUCCAGAGAAACCUACACAGUGUACAUCAUAAGCACUUAAAUCAUAAGGAGCUGCAUCUUUGAAUGCACAGAUAUAAAACUGCAAACAGUCCAGAAAGUCCAGUCCCUUUUCUUAGUUUUAUGUUUAGUGACAUUCUUACUUUGUACAGUUUUGAGUUGUCAUCUCGUUUUCUUUUUUGCCAUUUUUGUUUCCUUAUCAUUUGUUAUCUUUGAUAUUGUACUGAUGAUCUCCUCAUCCCAGGAGAAAACUGGAUAGGUAGUAUGUCACGUGACGCACACGUUGCAACACCAAGUGACUUUGCUGUAUUAGACACACCAGUUUAGAAGUGAGCGCCACUUUUAUAUGUUUUGUUUUUUGUUAGAUAGAACAGGUAAGUUAGGGCGUGAAACACGCUGAAGACUUGCUUUUCUUAUUUUCUUUUCAUUAGUAAGGUUAGACGUUGAACUUGAGUUAGACUGGUUUUUGUUUUGUUCUUUUCUUUUCUUUGGUGCCACUUGUGUUUUUGUUUUCUUCUAUUACUUAUGUAAAUAUUGUACACAUUUUUCCUUUUGCUAUUUUGAUACCUUUUCAUUAUUUCUACUAUUAUUGUUAUCUCACGCCUUUUUCCUUAAUUGUAAAAUAAACUAUGUUUAUUGGCA
This is an RNA transcript of Ctenopharyngodon idella (grass carp), 1814 nucleotides long. It is a transcript of the gene named GTPase IMAP family member 2-like, with no coding region annotated. The transcript has 6 exons. The record is from RefSeq and is a predicted model, not a curated record. NCBI's taxonomy places the organism in Eukaryota, Metazoa, Chordata, Actinopteri, Cypriniformes, Xenocyprididae.